UACAGAGGCCUCAAGCGUUGUUCGGAUUCAUUGGGCGUAAAGGGUGCGUAGGCGGCGCGGUAAGUCGGGUGUGAAAUCUUGGAGCUUAACUCCGAAACUGCAUUCGAUACUGCCGUGCUUGAGGACUGGAGAGGAGACUGGAAUUUACGGUGUAGCGGUGAAAUGCGUAGAUAUCGUAAGGAAGACCAGUGGCGAAGGCGGGUCUCUGGACAGUUCCUGACGCUGAGGCACGAAGGCCAGGGGAGCAAACGGG
RNAcentral lists this ribosomal RNA (253 nucleotides) under uncultured bacterium. RNAcentral's name for it is "partial 16S ribosomal RNA". It matches the Rfam family "Bacterial small subunit ribosomal RNA", at positions 524 to 776 of the family's 1533-position model. The record is from RNAcentral.